ACUCUCGGCAACGGAUAUCUAGGCUCUCGCAUCGAUGAAGAACGUAGCAAAAUGCGAUACCUGGUGUGAAUUGCAGAAUCCCGUGAACCAUCGAGUUUUUGAACGCAAGUUGCGCCCGAAGCCAUUAGGCUGAGGGCACGUCUGCCUGGGUGUCUCA
RNAcentral lists this ribosomal RNA (157 nucleotides) under Primula marginata. Its description in RNAcentral is "5.8S ribosomal RNA". It matches the Rfam family "5.8S ribosomal RNA". From Rfam's summary of the family: 5.8S ribosomal RNA (5.8S rRNA) is a component of the large subunit of the eukaryotic ribosome. It is transcribed by RNA polymerase I as part of the 45S precursor that also contains 18S and 28S rRNA. Functionally, it is thought that 5.8S rRNA may be involved in ribosome translocation. Lineage: Eukaryota; Viridiplantae; Streptophyta; Magnoliopsida; Ericales; Primulaceae. The record is from RNAcentral.